Molecule: ribosomal RNA, 491 nt
Filed under: uncultured bacterium
Lineage: Bacteria
Description: partial 16S ribosomal RNA
Rfam family: Bacterial small subunit ribosomal RNA
Source: RNAcentral
GAUGAACGCUAGCUACAGGCUUAACACAUGCAAGUCGAGGGGAAACGCCAUUGAAGCUUGCUUCGAUGGUCGUCGACCGGCGCACGGGUGAGUAACGCGUAUCCAACCUGCCUCUGACCAAGGGAUAACCCGUCGAAAGUCGGCCUAAUACCUUAUGCAGUCGUCGGAAGUCAUCUGAUGACGACGAAAGAUUUCAUCGGUGAGAGAUGGGGAUGCGUCUGAUUAGCUUGUUGGCGGGGUAACGGCCCACCAAGGCAACGAUCAGUAGGGGUUCUGAGAGGAAGGUCCCCCACAUUGGAACUGAGACACGGUCCAAACUCCUACGGGAGGCAGCAGUGAGGAAUAUUGGUCAAUGGGCGAGAGCCUGAACCAGCCAAGUAGCGUGCAGGAGGACGGCCCUAGGGGUUGUAAUCUGCUGUUAAGCGGGGAUAAAGUGAGGGACGUGUCCUUCAUUGCAGGUACCGCAUGAAUAAGGACCGGCUAAUUCCGUG